This 278-nucleotide long non-coding RNA is filed under the name Physcomitrium patens. RNAcentral's name for it is "long non-coding RNA (PPAT_LNC004183)". The record is from RNAcentral. Lineage: Eukaryota; Viridiplantae; Streptophyta; Bryopsida; Funariales; Funariaceae.
AAAUGUACCGUAAAUCUAUACGGAUGUCCUUCAACUGCUCGUCGAAAUCCUUUUUGCCCUAGCCGGUAGGUCUCUAGACGUUAUAGAGAACUCCAAACAACCCAAUCUGCUAAUCUCCGAUACCGCUUUAUACUCAUGACCUUGUAUCCACUGACUGUCUUGUUAGAUUAAUCCAAAAAUUUUCAUUUACUCCGCAUACUCAAUCCUAUAGACAUCCUUUUAAUUCUUCAAUCACAAACGUAACUUCAAUUUCACAAAACAGUCAAGAGUAAUCACAC